RNAcentral lists this ribosomal RNA (495 nucleotides) under uncultured bacterium. Its description in RNAcentral is "partial 16S ribosomal RNA". It matches the Rfam family "Bacterial small subunit ribosomal RNA", at positions 29 to 507 of the family's 1533-position model. The record is from RNAcentral.
AUGAACGCUGGCGGCGUGCCUAAUACAUGCAAGUCGAGCGAACAGACGAGGAGCUUGCUCCUCUGACGUUAGCGGCGGACGGGUGAGUAACACGUGGAUAACCUACCUAUAAGACUGGGAUAACUUCGGGAAACCGGAGCUAAUACCGGAUAAUAUAUUGAACCGCAUGGUUCAAUAGUGAAAGACGGUUUUGCUGUCACUUAUAGAUGGAUCCGCGCCGCAUUAGCUAGUUGGUAAGGUAACGGCUUACCAAGGCAACGAUGCGUAGCCGACCUGAGAGGGUGUUCGGCCCCCCGGGACCUGAGACACGGUCCAGACUCCUACGGGAGGCAGCAGUAGGGAUUCUUCCGCAAUGGGCGAAAGCCUGACGGAGCAACGCCGCGUGGGUGAUGAAGGUCUUCGGUUCGUAAAACUCUGUUAUUAGGGAAGAACAAAUGUGUAGUAACUAUGCACGUCUUGACGGUACCUAAUCAGAAAGCCACGGCUAACUACGUG